RNAcentral lists this ribosomal RNA (916 nucleotides) under uncultured bacterium. RNAcentral's name for it is "bacterial SSU rRNA". It matches the Rfam family "Bacterial small subunit ribosomal RNA", at positions 10 to 916 of the family's 1533-position model. The record is from RNAcentral.
AGUUUGAUCCUGGCCCAGGAUGAACGCUAGCUACAGGCUUAACACAUGCAAGUCGAGGGGAAACGACAUCGAAAGCUUGCUUUUGAUGGGCGUCGACCGGCGCACGGGUGAGUAACGCGUAUCCAACCUGCCCACCACUUGGGGAUAACCUUGCGAAAGUAAGACUAAUACCCAAUGACGUCUCUAGAAGACAUCUGAAGGAGAUUAAAGAUUUAUCGGUGAUGGAUGGGGAUGCGUCUGAUUAGCUUGUUGGCGGGGUAACGGCCCACCAAGGCGACGAUCAGUAGGGGUUCUGAGAGGAAGGUCCCCCACAUUGGAACUGAGACACGGUCCAAACUCCUACGGGAGGCAGCAGUGAGGAAUAUUGGUCAAUGGGCGAGAGCCUGAACCAGCCAAGUAGCGUGCAGGAUGACGGCCCUAUGGGUUGUAAACUGCUUUUAUAAGGGAAUAAAGUGAGUCUCGUGAGACUUUUUGCAUGUACCUUAUGAAUAAGGACCGGCUAAUUCCGUGCCAGCAGCCGCGGUAAUACGGAAGGUCCGGGCGUUAUCCGGAUUUAUUGGGUUUAAAGGGAGCGUAGGCCGGAGAUUAAGCGUGUUGUGAAAUGUAGACGCUCAACGUCUGCACUGCAGCGCGAACUGGUUUCCUUGAGUACGCACAAAAGUGGGCGGAAUUCGUGGUGUAGCGGUGAAAUGCUUAGAUAUCACGAAGAACUCCGAUUGCGAAGGCAGCUCACUGGAGSGCACUGACGCUGAAGCUCGAAAGUGCGGGUAUCGAACAGGAUUAGAUACCCUGGUAGUCCGCACGGUAAACGAUGGAUGCCCGCUGUUGGGCCAACUGGUUCAGCGGUCAAGCGAAAGCAUUAAGCAUCCCACCUGGGGAGUACGCCGGCAACGGUGAAACUCAAAGGAAUUGACGG